Molecule: long non-coding RNA, 666 nt
Organism: Cyprinodon tularosa
Lineage: Eukaryota; Metazoa; Chordata; Actinopteri; Cyprinodontiformes; Cyprinodontidae
Exons: 4
Source: RefSeq, a predicted model, not a curated record
GUCCAAAUUCUCUCCUGAUUUGACUAAUCAGAGUCUGGUCUGCUGUAACUGCCUCCAAAGCCGUUGCAGCCUGAGGACCAUGAGACUUGACGGGCCUAAUGACAUCCUGCAUAUUCUAAACUUAUUCUUGGACACUGUUUACCUCUACAGGGAGCUGUAAAGGCCUUGGGCUGCCGUCAUUCUCCUCAGCUGUUUCUUUUGAGACUCCUGCUGGAUUCUUCCUGUUACCAAACCCUGGACUCAUUCCUGACACAGUCCUGGAUUUCCCUUUGGCAUAUCUUUGGAUCUCUGAUCUUCUGGCACAGACUCCUGAGCAUCUCCUCAACACCGGCUUUGACGGUGUCCCAUUUUGUCAGCAGCCGACCGCCUGAAACCAACCUCAUCCUCUGGGCACGGACUGAACUGUUAAACCAGCAUUGUCUGCGAGUUUGCCAAAAGAAAGUAUCCGGCCAGAAGUUAACACUGUUUGGGAGGCAGUGGAAUGGGAAAGGAUGGGAACGACUGUGCUUGCAAGGAGUACCUCUGACUGCUGCUGCAAAGGAAUACCAAAUCUACUGUUUGCUGGAAAAAGAUGAGAUCAAACCAGUCACAGAAAGAGAUUUCAAGUAAGACCUAAUUAAAAACUAAUCCAACCCUCCACGCCUACUGGCAGCACUUUAUUUGUUG